Molecule: ribosomal RNA, 475 nt
Filed under: uncultured bacterium
Lineage: Bacteria
Description: bacterial SSU rRNA
Rfam family: Bacterial small subunit ribosomal RNA
Source: RNAcentral
UCAGGACGAACGCUGGCGGCGUGCUUAACACAUGCAAGUCGAACGGGAGUAUUGAAGAAGCUUGCUUAGAGAUACUUUAGUGGCGGACGGGUGAGUAACGCGUGAGGAGCUGUCCUAUGCAGGGGGACAACAGCUGGAAACGGCUGCUAAUACCCCAUAAGCCGAGAGGUAAAAGGAUCAAUCCGGCAGAGGAGGUACUCGCGUCCUAUCAGCUAGUAGGUGAGGUAACGGCUCACCUAGGCGAAGACGGGUAGCCGGCCUGAGAGGGCGAACGGCCACACUGGAACUGAGAUACGGUCCAGACUCCUACGGGAGGCAGCAGUGGGGAAUAUUGGGCAAUGGGGGGAAAAACCCCCUGACCCAGCGACGCCGCGUGGGUGAAGAAAUCCUUCGGGAUGUAAAGCCCUGUUGUAUGGGAAGAGCGGAAGACGGUACCAUACGAGGAAGCCCCGGCAAACUACGUGCCAGCCGCCGC